RNAcentral lists this transfer RNA (84 nucleotides) under Acidobacteriota bacterium. RNAcentral describes it as "tRNA-Leu". It matches the Rfam family "tRNA". From Rfam's summary of the family: Transfer RNA (tRNA) molecules are approximately 80 nucleotides in length. Their secondary structure includes four short double-helical elements and three loops (D, anti-codon, and T loops). Lineage: Bacteria; Pseudomonadati; Acidobacteriota. The record is from RNAcentral. RNAcentral also lists the same sequence under 3 other names.
GCCGAAGUGGUGGAAUUGGUAGACACGCAAGUUUCAGGUACUUGUGGGAGCAAUCCUGUGGGGGUUCGAGUCCCCCCUUCGGCA